Molecule: ribosomal RNA, 371 nt
Filed under: uncultured eukaryote
Lineage: Eukaryota
Description: partial 18S ribosomal RNA
Rfam family: Eukaryotic small subunit ribosomal RNA
Source: RNAcentral
CAGUAGCGUAUAUUAAAGUUGUUGCAGUUAAAAUGCUCGUAGUUGAAGUUCGGAUGCAGCAGAGCUUGGAAACGCUGUUAUGGUGCUUCCGUUGCUUUUACUUGUCCACAGUGCGUUGCAAGUACGUAUGUGCUUGUGCGUGCAUUUUACUUUGAGAAACAUAGGGUGUUCCACGCAUGUUACGGCAUGAAUAUUCCAGCAUGGGAUAAUCUGGUACGACUUCCAAUCUGCCAUUUUGGUUCGUAGGUUGGAAGUAAUGAUUAAUAGGGACUGUCGGGGGCAUUGGUAUUAUUUGACUGUCAGAGGUGAAAUUCUUAGAUUCGUUGAGGACCAACCACUGCGAAAGCAUUUGUCAAGGAUGUCUNCAUUAA